RNAcentral lists this unclassified non-coding RNA (192 nucleotides) under fungal sp. RNAcentral's name for it is "partial internal transcribed spacer region". The stretch from base 1 to 46 matches the Rfam family "Eukaryotic small subunit ribosomal RNA", at positions 1786 to 1831 of the family's 1831-position model. The record is from RNAcentral. Lineage: Eukaryota; Fungi.
AAGUCGUAACAAGGUUUCCGUAGGUGAACCUGCGGAAGGAUCAUUAAUGAAAUACCUGGUUUGAUUUCAAACCAAUUUCAUACCCUGUGCACAUAACUAUUUUUAUUAUUAACGCUUCAGUUUUGGAUGUAACAAAUUGUUUAAUACAAUUAAAACAAAAUAAAACUUUCAGCAACGGAUCUCUUGGCUCUC